GUUGCGAUCUUGGAUGUGAGGUGUGCUGGAGCUUGUUUCCGGCUCCCUUUUAAAUGCAUCAGCGGAGGCACUCGCUUCCGGCGCACUGACGUGAUAAUUAUCUUCGUCAUUGUCCGGUCUUGAGUCCGCUUAUAAUCGUCUUUCGAGACAUUUUAUGACAAUUUGACCUCAAAUCAGGUAGGACUACCCGCUGAACUUAA
This 200-nucleotide unclassified non-coding RNA is filed under the name soil metagenome. Its description in RNAcentral is "partial contains internal transcribed spacer 2 and large subunit ribosomal RNA". The record is from RNAcentral.